ACAAUGCGGGACUAUACGUCUUGCAAUUGGAUUGAGAACAAUGUACAACUCUUAUCGAUAAGCCAUUGGAGGGCAAGUCUGGUGCCAGCAGCCGCGGUAAUUCCAGCUCCAAUAGCGUAUAUUAACGUUGUUGCAGUUAAAAAGCUCGUAGUUGAAGUGUGGGUGAUCGCUGUUGUGAGACUUCGGUCUCUCGACAGUAAGUCACCCCCUUCCAGUAUCCAGUAGUGGGUAUUCAGUUACUUACUAUUGUGUGUUGGUCCUUUACUGUGAGAAAAUUAGAGUGUUCAAAGCAGGCGUUUGCUUGAAUAGAUUAGCAUGGAAUAAUAAUUGAAGGCUUUCGUGUUCGAUUUGAUUGGUUUGUUCAUGGAAGCAAGGUUAAAAGGAACAGUUGGGGGUAUUCAUAUUCACUAGUUAGAGGUGAAAUUCUCGGAUUUAUGGAA
Molecule: ribosomal RNA, 440 nt
Filed under: Blastocystis sp.
Lineage: Eukaryota; Bigyra; Opalinata; Blastocystidae
Description: SSU rRNA
Rfam family: Eukaryotic small subunit ribosomal RNA
Source: RNAcentral